Molecule: ribosomal RNA, 492 nt
Filed under: uncultured bacterium
Lineage: Bacteria
Description: partial 16S ribosomal RNA
Rfam family: Bacterial small subunit ribosomal RNA
Source: RNAcentral
AGUGAACGCUGGCGGUAGGCCUAACACAUGCAAGUCGAACGGCAGCACAGUAAGAGCUUGCUCUUACGGGUGGCGAGUGGCGGACGGGUGAGGAAUACAUCGGAAUCUACUUUUUCGUGGGUGAUAACGUAGGGAAACUUACGCUAAUACCGCAUACUACCUACGGGUGAAAUCAGGGGAGCUUCGGACCUUGCGCGAUUGAAUGAGCCGAUGUCGGAUUAGCUAGUUGGCGUGGUAAAGGCCCACCAAGGCGACGAUCCGUAGCUGGUCUGAGAGGAUGAUCAGCCACACUGGAACUGAGACACGGUCCAGACUCCUACGGGAGGCAGCAGUGGGGAAUAUUGGACAAUGGGCGCAAGCCUGAUCCAGCCAUACCGCGUGGGUGAAGAAGGCCUUCGGGUUGUAAAGCCCUUUUGUUGGGAAAGAAAAGCAGCAGGUUAAUCCCCCGCUGUUCUGACGGUACCCAAAGAAUAAGCACCGGCUAACUUCGUG